RNAcentral lists this long non-coding RNA (256 nucleotides) under Scleropages formosus (Asian bonytongue). RNAcentral's name for it is "lncRNA (ENSSFOG00015026456.1)". Lineage: Eukaryota; Metazoa; Chordata; Actinopteri; Osteoglossiformes; Osteoglossidae. The record is from RNAcentral.
CUUCAGAUGACCUCAUCAAUUGCAGUCUACAUGUCAGCUGGUUCUAAAAGCAAGUAGAGAGCGGUGCUUGAUGAUGUGCUCUUUGAAGUCCAUGAGGGUCACCAUGAGCACCGCAUGGGACAAGCUGAGAACCAGGGUUUGAGGAGUGGCGAAAGCAUGACCCUCCGCCCGCCUGACAGAGUACUGCCCCGGCACACUGAACAGGGGACAGCUUUAGAGAAUCACUUCCCAAGUUAAGACACCUAUUGUUCACCCA